This 71-nucleotide transfer RNA is filed under the name bacterium. RNAcentral describes it as "tRNA-Ala". It matches the Rfam family "tRNA". From Rfam's summary of the family: Transfer RNA (tRNA) molecules are approximately 80 nucleotides in length. Their secondary structure includes four short double-helical elements and three loops (D, anti-codon, and T loops). Further hydrogen bonds mediate the characteristic L-shaped molecular structure. tRNAs have two regions of fundamental functional importance: the anti-codon, which is responsible for specific mRNA codon recognition, and the 3' end, to which the tRNAs corresponding amino acid is attached (by aminoacyl-tRNA synthetases). tRNAs cope with the degeneracy of the genetic code in two manners: having more than one tRNA (with a specific anti-codon) for a particular amino acid; and 'wobble' base-pairing, i.e. permitting non-standard base-pairing at the 3rd anti-codon position. The record is from RNAcentral.
GGGGACAUGUACCAAGGGGGCGACAGUGCUUUGCAAGCACCGUGAGGUGGGUUCAAUUCCCACUCUCUCCA